UAGGUAUAUCCUAAGUGGAACUUCUUUUAAUUUGAUCAACUUUAUAAAAAAAAGUGUUAAUAUCUACAACAUCAAAUAUAUUUGGUAUAAAAAUAUAUGUUAUGGUGAAUCUAAUCAAGCUAAUUUGAUGUUGUAGACGUUGGUAUAUUUUUCUACAAACUUGGUCAAAAUUAAAACAGUUUGACUUAGGACAAAUCUAA
RNAcentral lists this microRNA precursor (200 nucleotides) under Triticum aestivum (bread wheat). RNAcentral's name for it is "MIR1435 microRNA precursor family". It matches the Rfam family "MIR1435 microRNA precursor family". The record is from Rfam by way of RNAcentral. Lineage: Eukaryota; Viridiplantae; Streptophyta; Magnoliopsida; Poales; Poaceae.